RNAcentral lists this ribosomal RNA (497 nucleotides) under uncultured bacterium. Its description in RNAcentral is "partial 16S ribosomal RNA". It matches the Rfam family "Bacterial small subunit ribosomal RNA", at positions 28 to 507 of the family's 1533-position model. The record is from RNAcentral.
GAUGAACGCUGGCGGCGUGCCUAAUACAUGCAAGUCGAGCGAACAGACGCGGCGCUUGCUCCUCUGACGUUAGCGGCGGACGUGUGAGUAACACGUGUAAAACCUACCUAUCAGACUGGGAUAACUUCGGGACACCGGCGCUAAUCCCGGAUAAUAUAUUGCACCGCAUGGUUCAAUGGUGAAAUACGGUUUUUCUGUCUCUUAUCGAUGCAUACGCGCCGCAUGAGCUAGUUGUUAAGGUAAUGGCUUACGAAGGCAACGAUGCGUAGACGAACUGAUGGGGGGGUAGGCCACAUUGGAAGUUAGACAGGGUCAAGAGGACUAAGGGAGGCAGCAGUAGGGAAUCGUACGCAGUGGGCGAGAGCAUGACGGAGCAACGGCGAGUGAGUGAUGAAGGUGUUGGGAGCGUAAAACUCUGUUACGAGGGAAGAACAAAUGUGUAAGUAACUAUGCACGGAUUGACGGUACUUAAUCAGAAAGCAACGGCUAACUACGUG